RNAcentral lists this long non-coding RNA (760 nucleotides) under Fukomys damarensis (Damara mole-rat). RNAcentral describes it as "lncRNA (ENSFDAG00000022707.1)". Lineage: Eukaryota; Metazoa; Chordata; Mammalia; Rodentia; Bathyergidae. The record is from RNAcentral.
GAGAGCAUGAGCCUGGAACUAAGUUCGUGAAACUGCUCUCCUGUUGUUCUUCCCUCGGGUUUGGGACCUGCUGGCAGGAUUCUGACGUUGCAGCUCGCGACAUACUAACUCAGAGCCCUCUUCCAGAAUCUACUUUAAGAACAAUUCAUCAACAGAUGCUGCCAAGCUUCCUAGUGCACUAAAGCCAAGCUUGUAAUGGAACAUCAAGCAGCUGUGGAUGGUUAGAGGCAGCAAAUCGUUCCUCAGUCAUGGGCUCCAGGAUGAAGAAAAGAAAAUCAAUUCCGGGUGAAGUUGGAAGAGCAGUUACUUUUAAGGAAGGCAAUUUCUGAGGUCACGAGAUGCUCUCUUGGAAUGUUGGAUUGUGGGUGACCAUCUCCCAACAGCAAGAGGUUAUGGUGCUCCUGUCUGCAGAGGAGAAGGACAAAGAGGCAGAGGAAUCUCUCACUUCAAAUGAGAUUAGGGAGAUGUGUAAAAUGUGGGAAACAAUGCAAAAUUUUGUAGGAAACUGCUCGAAUAAGGCUGUAGUAGUGUGAGUAAUCAAUUUGUUUAAUGGCAAUGCAAUGUCACAUUUCUGUGAAAUCCUCAAAAGGAGGCAAAAGCCAGUAUCAUUGGAUAGGGUCCUUGUUAAAGUUGCCCAAAAAGAAAAAGAUUCCUUUGAACAGUGAUAGAUAACAAUAAUUUUGUUAGUGAUAGUGAAAGUCAUCCUACCCAAUAACCCUCCUCUCAUCUCCCCCACCUAGUCAUGAAGGUUUGAGGAGGU